This is a long non-coding RNA of Pezoporus flaviventris, 680 nucleotides long. RefSeq lists it as uncharacterized. The record is from RefSeq and is a predicted model, not a curated record. NCBI's taxonomy places the organism in Eukaryota, Metazoa, Chordata, Aves, Psittaciformes, Psittacidae. The transcript has 2 exons.
UUCUAUGAUGGCGCUACGGAACUGAUGGAAAGGGGCAAAGCCAUUGACGUCACCUACCUGAACUUGUGCAAAGUGUUUGACACUGACCCACACAACAUCCUUGUCUCUAAACUGCAGAGGCGUAAAUUUGAUGGAUGGACCACUCAGUGGAUAACUAAUUGGUUGGAUGGCCGGAUGCAGAGUUGUGGUCAAGGGCUCAAUGUCCAACUGGAGACUGGUAACGAGCAAGUCCAGAGGAGGUCCACAAGGAUGGGUCCACCUCCCUGGAUUAUUUAUUUUUGCUGUGUGCUAACUAGCUGUAAAGGCAGAUGUCUGGGCUCACUCCUAUUGCUUCUUUGCUCCACACACUGACAUACAGGGGGAGAAAGUGUUUGAUCAGGAUCACAGAAUCAUGGUAUUGUUAGGGUUGGAAAGGACCUUAACAUCAUCUUGUUCCAACCCACCUGCAGGGAGUGUUGUGAGGUAGGGGUGCCUCACACUAGACCAUGUCAUCCAAGGCCUCAUCCAAUCUAGCCUUGGACACUUCCAGGGAUGGGGCAGCCACAACCUCCUUGGGUAACCUGUGCCAGUGACGUUGGUGAUGUGCUGAAGCAAAGACACUUCCGGUUUCUGCCCAAUGGACAAAGAUGCCUUUGCUCCCCAGGACUUUCAAAUCGUAAGACACAGUACAACUGAUUUAU